UCGAAAGCCUGUCCCAGUUCGGACUGGAGUCUGNAACCCGACUCCACGAAGUUGGAUUCGCUAGUAAUCGCGCAUCAGCCAUGGCGCGGUGAAUACGUUCCCGGGCCUUGUACACACCGCCCGUCAAGCCAUGGGAGCCGGGGGCGCCUGAAGUCCGGGACCGCGAGGACCGGCCUAGGGCGAAACUGGUAACUGGGGCUAAGUCGUAACAAGGUAGC
RNAcentral lists this ribosomal RNA (218 nucleotides) under uncultured bacterium. RNAcentral's name for it is "partial 16S ribosomal RNA". It matches the Rfam family "Bacterial small subunit ribosomal RNA", at positions 1275 to 1500 of the family's 1533-position model. The record is from RNAcentral.